ACCCUUUUCUUUGCCGCGAUAAUCCCUAUAUCAGCCGGGCCGGUUUGACCGGCUAUGGUGAUAAACUGCGGCGUGCAAUAGGCACAGCGGACCCGGGGGCGGUACCCGGCGGCUCCACCAAGACCGGCGCUUCUCGCAAGAUGGCGUGCCGUUCCUGACGGGGCCGAACUAGGAUCGACGUGUGCUCAAAAGCGCUGUUUUUGCCCGGGCUGAGUAACCCGUUCAAGGCUCAAAACCCAUAAGUGCCAACGAUAACGAAGCACUUGCUCUUGCAGCGUAAUUGAGGGCCUCACGGCCUGACAUUACCCUAACAGAACGCGGCUGGGCCAGCCGGGCAACAGAAUGGAUUCCAGCGGUACGGGGAGCACCGGGCAACAGAAGCUCCCCACU
This 390-nucleotide transfer-messenger RNA is filed under the name Sphingobium nicotianae. It matches the Rfam family "Alphaproteobacteria transfer-messenger RNA". Rfam says of the family: Bacterial tmRNA, also known as 10Sa RNA or SsrA, is named for its dual tRNA and mRNA-like properties. The record is from RNAcentral. Lineage: Bacteria; Pseudomonadati; Pseudomonadota; Alphaproteobacteria; Sphingomonadales; Sphingobiaceae.